RNAcentral lists this ribosomal RNA (537 nucleotides) under uncultured bacterium. RNAcentral's name for it is "bacterial SSU rRNA". It matches the Rfam family "Bacterial small subunit ribosomal RNA", at positions 957 to 1503 of the family's 1533-position model. The record is from RNAcentral.
AUACGCGAGGAACUUUACCCGGGCUCAAACGUUGCAGGAAGGGUGUCUGAAAGGAUGCCCGUCUACGGACCUGCGACGAGGUGCUGCAUGGUUGUCGUCAGCUCGUGCCGUGAGGUGUCGGCUUAAGUGCCAUAACGAGCGCAACCCCUACCGCCAGUUGCCAACAGGCAAAGCUGGGGACUCUGGCGGGACUGCCGGCGCAAGCUGCGAGGAAGGCGGGGAUGACGUCAAAUCAGCACGGCCCUUACGUCCGGGGCGACACACGUGUUACAAUGGCAGGUACAGCGGGAAGCCACCUGGCGACAGGGAGCGGAACCCGAAAGCCUGUCUCAGUUCGGAUUGGAGUCUGCAACCCGACUCCAUGAAGCUGGAUUCGCUAGUAAUCGCGCAUCAGCCACGGCGCGGUGAAUACGUUCCCGGGCCUUGUACACACCGCCCGUCAAGCCAUGGGAGUCGGGAGUGCCUGAAGUGCGUGAGCGCGAGCAGCGCCCUAGGGCAAAACCGAUGACUGGGGCUAAGUCGUAACAAGGUAACCGU